CCUACGGGAGGCAGCAGUGGGGAAUAUUGCACAAUGGGGGCAACCCUGAUGCAGCAACGCCGCGUGAGUGAAGAAGGAUUUCGGUAUGUAAAGCUCUAUCAGCAGGGAAGAGGAAAGACGGUAACUGACUAAGAAGCCCCGGCUAACUACGUGCCAGCAGCCGCGGUAAUACGUAGGGGGCAAGGGUUAUCCCGAUUUACUGGGUGGAAAGGGAGGGUAGACGGAUGUGCAAGUCUGAAGUGAAAGCCCGCGGCUCAACCGCGGAACUGCUUUUGAAACUGUAUAGCUUGAGUACUGGAGAGGUAGGCGGAAUUCCUUGUGUAGCGGUGAAAUGCGUAGAUAUUAGGAGGAACACCAGUGGCGAAGGCGGCCUGCUGGACAGAAACUGACGUUGAGGCUCGAAAGCGUGGGGAGCAAACAGGAUUAGAUACCCGAGUAGUC
RNAcentral lists this ribosomal RNA (441 nucleotides) under uncultured bacterium. RNAcentral describes it as "partial 16S ribosomal RNA". It matches the Rfam family "Bacterial small subunit ribosomal RNA", at positions 338 to 795 of the family's 1533-position model. The record is from RNAcentral.